AGAGUGGAGGCUCCUUUAAUCUUGACAGCCCGAAUGCUACAGGGGUCACAGCACAUCUGCUCCGGAGGAAAGACAAAGGGCAAGGUGGGGCCACGGUAGCCCGCGCGGGGCUCUUGGCGGGCUGGGGGCGGCGUGCGCCGAGCUGGGCGCGAGUGGAGGGGCCGGCGGCUUUGUGCGCCCCCGCCAGUGCCCGCCCGCAGCCCCGCCGCAGCGUUUAACCUUGACUUCUCCCUCCUCGCUUCUGGCACGGGAGGAAAGCCUGUCCAGAUGGGCGUCCUGAGUGUGACGACGUCCCCUCCCGCCCCCGCGCUCUCGCGCAGAUGUCGCACGCUGCCCUGGGUCCCGCCACACCGCCCACCAAGGCCGCGGGCCCUGCGCGCCCGGGGCAGGCGGGCACAUCCCGCACCCUCUCCGCCCGCCCGCCCCCGGCGCCCUUCGCAUUCCCUUCUUCGGCCCUGGCCCCUCGGACCGGAGCGCCCAGGCCAGCUCAGGGUGUUCCCGUGGGGGUCUCCGGAAACAAUGUAGAGACGGGGUUUCACCGUGUUAGCCAGAACGGUCUUGAUCUCCUGACCUCAUGAUCUGCCCGCCUCGGUCUCCCAAAGUGCUGGGAUUACAGGUAGAGGACCUUUGGAGAUGUGAAUGAAAACAGCUGUCUGAACAAGUGGUACCCUAACUAGCGCGGCUGAAUGAGUCCCUGGCUGCCUUUCUGGGAAGGGAAUGGCUUCCUGUGGUGAUGAACGAAGCCAGCCAAGUGCAGGUCGAGGCAUGCUCUCCACCCUCCCUAGAAGCUGUGCCACCAACGAAAGCUUUUCCCUGCACCUGUAGUAGAGGUUUGCUGAGCAUCUCACCCAGUGUCAGCUGAGUUGCAG
This 869-nucleotide long non-coding RNA is filed under the name Homo sapiens (human). RNAcentral's name for it is "HSALNT0347188". Lineage: Eukaryota; Metazoa; Chordata; Mammalia; Primates; Hominidae. The record is from RNAcentral.